This 2906-nucleotide ribosomal RNA is filed under the name Salmonella enterica. RNAcentral's name for it is "bacterial LSU rRNA". It matches the Rfam family "Bacterial large subunit ribosomal RNA". The record is from RNAcentral. Lineage: Bacteria; Pseudomonadati; Pseudomonadota; Gammaproteobacteria; Enterobacterales; Enterobacteriaceae. RNAcentral also lists the same sequence under 1 other name.
UUAAGCGACUAAGCGUACACGGUGGAUGCCCUGGCAGUCAGAGGCGAUGAAGGGCGUGCUAAUCUGCGAUAAGCGCCGGUAAGGUGAUAUGAACCGUUAUAACCGGCGAUACCCGAAUGGGGAAACCCAGUGUGAUUCGUCACACUAUCAUUAACUGAAUCCAUAGGUUAAUGAGGCGAACCGGGGGAACUGAAACAUCUAAGUACCCCGAGGAAAAGAAAUCAACCGAGAUUCCCCCAGUAGCGGCGAGCGAACGGGGAGGAGCCCAGAGCCUGAAUCAGCAUGUGUGUUAGUGGAAGCGUCUGGAAAGGCGCGCGAUACAGGGUGACAGCCCCGUACACAAAAGCGCAUGUGCUGUGAGCUCGAUGAGUAGGGCGGGACACGUGGUAUCCUGUCUGAAUAUGGGGGGACCAUCCUCCAAGGCUAAAUACUCCUGACUGACCGAUAGUGAACCAGUACCGUGAGGGAAAGGCGAAAAGAACCCCGGCGAGGGGAGUGAAAAAGAACCUGAAACCGUGUACGUACAAGCAGUGGGAGCACAGGUUUACCUGUGUGACUGCGUACCUUUUGUAUAAUGGGUCAGCGACUUAUAUUCUGUAGCAAGGUUAACCGAAUAGGGGAGCCGGAGGGAAACCGAGUCUUAAUUGGGCGUUAAGUUGCAGGGUAUAGACCCGAAACCCGGUGAUCUAGCCAUGGGCAGGUUGAAGGUUGGGUAACACUAACUGGAGGACCGAACCGACUAAUGUUGAAAAAUUAGCGGAUGACCUGUGGCUGGGGGUGAAAGGCCAAUCAAACCGGGAGAUAGCUGGUUCUCCCCGAAAGCUAUUUAGGUAGCGCCUCGUGAAUUCAUCUCCGGGGGUAGAGCACUGUUUCGGCUAGGGGGCCAUCCCGGCUUACCAACCCGAUGCAAACUGCGAAUACCGGAGAAUGUUAUCACGGGAGACACACGGCGGGUGCUAACGUCCGUCGUGAAGAGGGAAACAACCCAGACCGCCAGCUAAGGUCCCAAAGUCAUGGUUAAGUGGGAAACGAUGUGGGAAGGCCCAGACAGCCAGGAUGUUGGCUUAGAAGCAGCCAUCAUUUAAAGAAAGCGUAAUAGCUCACUGGUCGAGUCGGCCUGCGCGGAAGAUGUAACGGGGCUAAACCAUGCACCGAAGCUGCGGCAGCGACGCUUAUGCGUUGUUGGGUAGGGGAGCGUUCUGUAAGCCUGUGAAGGUGGCCUGUGAGGGUUGCUGGAGGUAUCAGAAGUGCGAAUGCUGACAUAAGUAACGAUAAAGCGGGUGAAAAGCCCGCUCGCCGGAAGACCAAGGGUUCCUGUCCAACGUUAAUCGGGGCAGGGUGAGUCGACCCCUAAGGCGAGGCCGAAAGGCGUAGUCGAUGGGAAACGGGUUAAUAUUCCCGUACUUGGUGUUACUGCGAAGGGGGGACGGAGAAGGCUAUGUUGGCCGGGCGACGGUUGUCCCGGUUUAAGCGUGUAGGUGUGUGUUCCAGGUAAAUCCGGUUCACUUUAACACUGAGGCGUGAUGACGAGGCACUACGGUGCUGAAGUAACAAAUGCCCUGCUUCCAGGAAAAGCCUCUAAGCAUCAGGUAACAUCAAAUCGUACCCCAAACCGACACAGGUGGUCAGGUAGAGAAUACCAAGGCGCUUGAGAGAACUCGGGUGAAGGAACUAGGCAAAAUGGUGCCGUAACUUCGGGAGAAGGCACGCUGACACGUAGGUGAAGUGAUUUACUCAUGGAGCUGAAGUCAGUCGAAGAUACCAGCUGGCUGCAACUGUUUAUUAAAAACACAGCACUGUGCAAACACGAAAGUGGACGUAUACGGUGUGACGCCUGCCCGGUGCCGGAAGGUUAAUUGAUGGGGUCAGCGCAAGCGAAGCUCCUGAUCGAAGCCCCGGUAAACGGCGGCCGUAACUAUAACGGUCCUAAGGUAGCGAAAUUCCUUGUCGGGUAAGUUCCGACCUGCACGAAUGGCGUAAUGAUGGCCAGGCUGUCUCCACCCGAGACUCAGUGAAAUUGAACUCGCUGUGAAGAUGCAGUGUACCCGCGGCAAGACGGAAAGACCCCGUGAACCUUUACUAUAGCUUGACACUGAACAUUGAGCCUUGAUGUGUAGGAUAGGUGGGAGGCUUUGAAGUGUGGACGCCAGUCUGCAUGGAGCCGACCUUGAAAUACCACCCUUUAAUGUUUGAUGUUCUAACGUGGACCCGUUACCCGGGUUGCGGACAGUGUCUGGUGGGUAGUUUGACUGGGGCGGUCUCCUCCUAAAGAGUAACGGAGGAGCACGAAGGUUGGCUAAUCCUGGUCGGACAUCAGGAGGUUAGUGCAAUGGCAUAAGCCAGCUUGACUGCGAGCGUGACGGCGCGAGCAGGUGCGAAAGCAGGUCAUAGUGAUCCGGUGGUUCUGAAUGGAAGGGCCAUCGCUCAACGGAUAAAAGGUACUCCGGGGAUAACAGGCUGAUACCGCCCAAGAGUUCAUAUCGACGGCGGUGUUUGGCACCUCGAUGUCGGCUCAUCACAUCCUGGGGCUGAAGUAGGUCCCAAGGGUAUGGCUGUUCGCCAUUUAAAGUGGUACGCGAGCUGGGUUUAGAACGUCGUGAGACAGUUCGGUCCCUAUCUGCCGUGGGCGCUGGAGAACUGAGGGGGGCUGCUCCUAGUACGAGAGGACCGGAGUGGACGCAUCACUGGUGUUCGGGUUGUCAUGCCAAUGGCACUGCCCGGUAGCUAAAUGCGGAAGAGAUAAGUGCUGAAAGCAUCUAAGCACGAAACUUGCCCCGAGAUGAGUUCUCCCUGAGACUUAAAGUCUCCUGAAGGAACGUUGAAGACGACGACGUUGAUAGGCCGGGUGUGUAAGCGCAGCGAUGCGUUGAGCUAACCGGUACUAAUGAACCGUGAGGCUUAACCCU